GAUGAACGCUGGCGGCGUGCUUAACACAUGCAAGUCGAACGGAAAGGCCGAAGCUUGCUUCGGUACUCGAGUGGCGAACGGGUGAGUAACACGUGGGUGAUCUGCCCUGUACUUCGGGAUAAGCUUGGGAAACUGGGUCUAAUACCGGAUAUGACGAUCUCUUGGAUGGGGUUGUGGAAAGCUUUUGCGGUAUGGGAUGAGCUCGCGGCCUAUCAGCUUGUUGGUGGGGUAAUGGCCUACCAAGGCGUCGACGGGUAGCCGGCCUGAGAGGGUGUACGGCCAAUGUGGGAGUGGGAGACGGCCAGAACUCCGGGGGGGGGGAGAAGGGGGGAAUAUCGAACAAGGGGCGAACGCGGGAGGCGGAGCCGCGGUGGGGGGGAGGCCGCCUUGGGGGGUGAAACCUCCUUGCGCAAUGGACGAGGCUUUUUGGGGACGGGAGUUGGAAAAGAAGCCCCGGCAAACUAGGUG
This 468-nucleotide ribosomal RNA is filed under the name uncultured bacterium. RNAcentral describes it as "partial 16S ribosomal RNA". It matches the Rfam family "Bacterial small subunit ribosomal RNA", at positions 28 to 507 of the family's 1533-position model. The record is from RNAcentral.